RNAcentral lists this ribosomal RNA (506 nucleotides) under uncultured bacterium. RNAcentral describes it as "bacterial SSU rRNA". It matches the Rfam family "Bacterial small subunit ribosomal RNA", at positions 28 to 520 of the family's 1533-position model. The record is from RNAcentral.
GAUGAACGCUAGCUACAGGCUUAACACAUGCAAGUCGAGGGGAAACGACAUCAAAAGCUUGCUUUUGAUGGGCGUCGACCGGCGCACGGGUGAGUAACGCGUAUCCAACCUGCCCACCACUUGGGGAUAACCUUGCGAAAGUAAGACUAAUACCCAAUGAUAUCUCUAGAAGACAUCUGAAAGAGAUUAAAGAUUUAUCGGUGAUGGAUGGGGAUGCGUCUGAUUAGCUUGUUGGCGGGGUAACGGCCCACCAAGGCGACGAUCAGUAGGGGUUCUGAGAGGAAGGUCCCCCACAUUGGAACUGAGACACGGUCCAAACUCCUACGGGAGGCAGCAGUGAGGAAUAUUGGUCAAUGGGCGAGAGCCUGAACCAGCCAAGUAGCGUGCAGGAUGACGGCCCUAUGGGUUGUAAACUGCUUUUAUAAGGGAAUAAAGUGAGAGUCGUGACUCUUUUUGCAUGUACCUUAUGAAUAAGGACCGGCUAAUUCCGUGCCAGCAGCCGACGG